GAUGAACGCUGGCGGCGUGCCUAAUACAUGCAAGUCGAGCGAACGGACGAGAAGCUUGCUUUUCUGAUGUUAGCGGCGGACGGGUGAGUAACACGUGGAUAACCUACCUAUAAGACUGGGAUAACUUCGGGAAACCGGAGCUAAUACCGGAUAAUAUUUUGAACCGCAUGGUUCAAAAGUGAAAGACGGUCUUGCUGUCACUUAUAGAUGGAUCCGCGCUGCAUUAGCUAGUUGGUAAGGUAACGGCUUACCAAGGCAACGAUGCAUAGCCGACCUGAGAGGGUGAUCGGCCACACUGGAACUGAGACACGGACCAGACUCCUACGGGAGGCAGCAGUAGGGAAUCUUCCGCAAUGGGCGAAAGCCUGACGGAGCAACGCCGCGUGAGUGAUGAAGGUCUUCGGAUCGUAAAACUCUGUUAUUAGGGAAGAACAUAUGUGUAAGUAACUGUGCACAUCUUGACGGUACCUAAUCAGAAAGCCACGGCUAACUACGU
Molecule: ribosomal RNA, 496 nt
Filed under: uncultured bacterium
Lineage: Bacteria
Description: partial 16S ribosomal RNA
Rfam family: Bacterial small subunit ribosomal RNA
Source: RNAcentral